RNAcentral lists this unclassified non-coding RNA (339 nucleotides) under soil metagenome. RNAcentral describes it as "partial contains 5.8S ribosomal RNA, internal transcribed spacer 2, and large subunit ribosomal RNA". The stretch from base 1 to 120 matches the Rfam family "5.8S ribosomal RNA", at positions 35 to 154 of the family's 154-position model. The record is from RNAcentral.
GAUGAAGAACGCAGCGAACUGCGAUACGUAGUGUGAAUUGCAGAAUUCAGUGAAUCAUCGAAUCUUUGAACGCACAUUGCACCUCUCGGUAUUCCGGGAGGUAUGCCUGUUCGAGCGUCAUUUGUACCCUCAAGCUCUGCUUGGUGUUGGGUGUUUGUUCCGCCUCUGUGUGUGAACUCGCCUCAAAACAAUUGGCAGCCGGCGUACUUGUUUCGGAGCGCAGCACAUUUUGCGAUCCAGAUCAACGUACAGCGGCAUCCAAGAAGCCUUAUUUAACGCUCUUGACCUCGGAUCAGGUAGGGAUACCCGCUGAACUUAAGCAUAUCAAUAAGCGGAGGA